This 85-nucleotide transfer RNA is filed under the name Alphaproteobacteria bacterium. RNAcentral describes it as "tRNA-Leu". It matches the Rfam family "tRNA". Rfam says of the family: Transfer RNA (tRNA) molecules are approximately 80 nucleotides in length. Their secondary structure includes four short double-helical elements and three loops (D, anti-codon, and T loops). The record is from RNAcentral. RNAcentral also lists the same sequence under 1 other name. Lineage: Bacteria; Pseudomonadati; Pseudomonadota; Alphaproteobacteria.
GGGGUUGUGGCGGAACUGGUAGACGCGCCAGACUCAAAAUCUGGUUCCUUCGGGAGUGGGAGUUCGAUUCUCCCCGGCCCUACCA